RNAcentral lists this ribosomal RNA (465 nucleotides) under uncultured bacterium. RNAcentral's name for it is "partial 16S ribosomal RNA". It matches the Rfam family "Bacterial small subunit ribosomal RNA", at positions 338 to 795 of the family's 1533-position model. The record is from RNAcentral.
CCUACGGGAGGCAGCAGUAGGGAAUUUUCGUCAAUGGGCGCAAGCCUGAACGAGCGAUGCCGCGUGAGUGAAGAAGGCCUUCGGGUCGUAAAGCUCUGUUGCGGGGGAAAAAAGGCAGCCUCAGGAAAUGGGUGCUGACUGAUGGUGCCCCGCCAGAAAGUCACGGCUAACUACGUGCAAGCAGCCGCGGUAAUCCGUAGGUGGCGAGCGGUAUCCGGAAGGAUUGGGCGUAAAGUGUGCGCAGGCGGUCCUGCAAGUCUGGAGUGAAACGCAUGAGCUCAACUCAUGCAUGGCUUUGGAAGCGUGAGGACUGGAGAGCAGGAGAGGGCGGUGGAACUCCAUGUGUAGCGGUAAAAGGCGUAGAUAUAUGGAAGAACACCAGUGGCGAAGGCGGCCGCCUGGCCUGUUGCUGACGCUGAGGCACGAAAGCGUGGGGAGCAAAUAGGAUUAGAUACCCCAGUAGUC